GAUUAGCUAGUUGGUGGGGUAAGAGCCUACCAAGGCGACGAUCUGUAGCUGGUCUGAGAGGAUGAUCAGCCACACUUGGACUGAGACACGUGCCAGAACUCCUACGGGAGGCAGCAGUGGGGAAUUUUCCGCAAUGGGCGCAAGCCUGACGGAGCAAGACCGCGUGGGGGAUGACGGCCUAAUGGUUGUAAACCCCUUUUCUCUGGGAAGAAGACUGACCGGUACCAGAGGAAUCAGCCUCGGCUAACUCCGUGCCAGCAGCCGCGGUAAUACGGAGGAGGCAAGCGUUAUCCGGAAUUAUUGGGCGUAAAGCGUCCGUAGGUGGUUAUUCAAGUCUGCUGUCAAAGCGUGGGGCUCAACUCCAUAGAGGCAGUGGAAACUGAGUGACUAGAGUGCGGUAGGGGUCGAGGGAAUUCCCAGUGUAGCGGUGAAAUGCGUAGAUAUUGGGAAAGAACACCAGUGGCGAAAGCCGCCUCGACUGGGCCUGCACUUGACACUGAGGGACGAAAGCUAGGGAAGCGACAGGGAUUAGAUACCCCUGUA
RNAcentral lists this ribosomal RNA (543 nucleotides) under uncultured organism. RNAcentral's name for it is "bacterial SSU rRNA". It matches the Rfam family "Bacterial small subunit ribosomal RNA", at positions 239 to 792 of the family's 1533-position model. The record is from RNAcentral.